Molecule: ribosomal RNA, 505 nt
Filed under: uncultured bacterium
Lineage: Bacteria
Description: partial 16S ribosomal RNA
Rfam family: Bacterial small subunit ribosomal RNA
Source: RNAcentral
GACGAACGCUGGCGGCGUGCCUAAUACAUGCAAGUAGAACGCACAGUUUAUACCGUAGCUUUCUACACCAUAGACUGGGAGUUGCGAACGGGUGAGUAACGCGUAGUGAACCUGCCUGGUAGCGGGGGUUAACUAGUGGAAACGAGAGCUAAUACCGCAUAGUAUUAAUUGUUGCAUGAGAAUUAAUUGAAAGGUUCAAUUUCACCACUACCAGAUGGACCUGCGUUGUAUUAGCUAGUAGGUGAGGUAACGGCUCACCUAGGCGACGAUACAUAGCCGACCGGAGACGGGGGUCGGCCAACCUGGAAAUGAGACCUGGCCCACACUCCUAAGGGCGGCAGCAGUAGGGAAUCGUCGGCAAUGGACGAAAGUCUGACCGAGCAACGACGCGCGAGUGAAGAAGGGUGUCGGAUCGUAAAGCUCUGUUGUCAGAGAAGAACGGGUGUGCGAGUGGAAAGUUCACACUGUGACGGUAGCUGACCAGAAAGGGACGGCUAACUACGUG